ACCCUUUUCAGACAAACCUGAAGAACCUUUCUCAAAACGCCUGUCAAAGCCAAUGAGACUGUCACAGGCAGAGGAAGUCCUGCCUUCCCCUGGGGCUGCAAAAGAUCCUGUCUCUGCACAGUCUCUGCUCCUCAAUCUAAAUUGCACUUCACCGAGCCAAAUAGGCGGUGAGGGGCUGACUUGUGCUGUAUUUCAUUUCCCUCCCUCAGGUAACAUUGGUUAUGCGUAUAACACCCAGUUCCCUUUUGGUUGGUACACUCAAUACAACACAUCAGUAUGAGGAUAUAACAUCACACACCGAAAAUGCCGCCGCAGAUAGUCUGAGAUGAACUGGCCCUGAUAAAACAGCAGUGAUGAUGUCAGCUCUUCCGCUUCAUAAGCUUGAUGAAUUGAGACCGUGUUAAGCACACAAGCAGUCAGCCCAGUACACUGUAUGUUUUCUCAAGCUGAGAGGUGGAGAAUCUGCACGGCUUACUGGAGAGAGUGGGUUUGCUGCUCGCGGUGUUAGGCUCCGGUGUGAAGCGGACAGCCAGCGUCUCAUCCAUUGGAAGAAUGUUAGCUAGCCCUGCAGCCUCCAUAUCCUUCAAGACUAAGAACUGGGUAAACGGCAGUGACAGCAUAGCCUUAGCGGCUGUCCAGGACCGUGUGAGCUCAUACAUAAAGUUGGGGAAAACAGGCAAUUUGAGUUUCAUCACUGCAAGCUGUUGUUGGAGAAAAUAAUUUCCUGCAAGCUGAGUUAGCUGUUGGCGAGGAGGUGGAGCAGGCCGCAGCACUUCAAGGUGCUGGUCUUGGUUGUAAGAUCUCCAGUACUGAGGACCUGGUAAGGCUCCUUUUCAUCUCCUCCACCUCCGACUUUGACUUUAUCCUCCGAGAGGUUGCCUGAAGCAGCGAGGGAAAGCGCAUCCUCAGACUGCACACCGGGCUGUACAUUGUCGACGGAGACAGUGAAGUCAACUGGGUCCUCCACCAUACCCACGUACUUCAUGGUUUAAACUCUACAGAGGACUUGAGGGCUUCAGAUAGCAGUGGAUCUCCGCAUGCAGCUUAGCUUCCCAGCACCUUCAACAGGAACGCCACACGCCUUUCCAGGGUCGUCCUUCGGAAUCAGCGACAGUACGCACAGGUCUCCAGGUUAGCAAGUGCAGCUUUAGCAUGCAACAUGCCAUGACACACCAGGCAAGCGUCGUGGGAAUCCAACGAUUCUUAGUAAGAAAACCUGCAAGCACUGGGUUAUGGACGAUAUUUCAGCUUCCCAGUUUUGCCUUGCUAGACCAGCUGGAAGAGCUUUUCUUUUUCUCAGGUGCCAUUCCACUUGGCAAUUUAGCUUGCUAAACAGAGUUGUUAGCUUGCUAAACAGGUGUGGGAAUAGCUGUUAGGUUAGCAAGGCUAAACAGGUACAUGUUAGCUAGGCAAAGCGGCUAGUUAGCAAGUUAAACAAGCGCUGAGUAGAGAGCCUUGGUAGCGAUGCCUUGGGCAGGGAGCUAGCUCACCUCCAAGCAGAAAGUUAAAUUGCUAGCAAGGUAUCUACAAGAGUCAGGUUAUGUGAGGUGAAGUGCCAAAAUAUUGAGGAGCAGAGACUGUACAGGCUCUUUUGUCGCCCCAGGGGAAGGGAGGCUUUCCCUGCCUUUUACAGUCUCAUUGACAGGCGUUUUGAAAAAGGAUCUUCAAGUUAAGGGUCUGCGUAAAGGGUCAGUAUGAAUUGAAUAAGAAGUUUUCUGAACUGUAAAUCAUGCAAAGAUAUUCCAGUAGAGCCACGGAUUAAAAAUAUAGACCUGUAAAUGUGCAUGAUAUGUUGUCUUUAAGUAAAGUAGAAUGUCUGGUGAAGAUAUUUGUGCAUCGAAUAAGCUAAAAGAGUUGGAGGAGACCAAAGCAGAGCCAAAGGGAGAAUGUAUAUUGGACUUCCAUUUAUCAGAGUGCCACAAACAGACCUCAAAGGUAAUGUUCAUAAAGCUCUGUGUCUGUUGGAUGUGUGAAUAGGCAACUAUUUGGUAUUUUGGAGACCUUUUGCCCUCUAGUUGUAAGAAAUCACUUGAUGCAGCUUUAAGUGAGAUUACGAAAGUAUUAGCAGUUCUGCUGUCAUUCUACUAUCAAAUAUACGAGUAGCCAACUCAUUACUGGUGCAUUUCAUGUUAAAUUACUCAUUAGUUUUAAAGUUGUAGCUGGUUCUGGUGGCAUUUACAAUUGUAAUAAAGUAUCAUUGCACCUUA
Molecule: long non-coding RNA, 2207 nt
Organism: Thunnus maccoyii (southern bluefin tuna)
Lineage: Eukaryota; Metazoa; Chordata; Actinopteri; Scombriformes; Scombridae
Exons: 2
Source: RefSeq, a predicted model, not a curated record